GAUGAAGAACGUAGCGAAAUGCGAUACUUGGUGUGAAUUGCAGAAUCCCGUGAACCAUCGAGUCUUUGAACGCAAGUUGCGCCCGAAGCCAUUAGGCCGAGGGCACGCCUGCCUGGGCGUCACACGUCGUUGCCCCCCCAUCUACUCCUUCGGGAUUGCGGGGGGCGGAUGAUGGCCUCCCGUGCGCCUCGUCGCGCGGUUGGCAUAAAUGCCAAGUCCUCGGCGACGCACGCCACGACAAUCGGUGGUUGCGAAACCACGGUUGCCCGUCGUGUGCGGUCGUCGCGCAUCGAGGGCUCGAAAAAAUUGCCGGGCUCCGGCUCGGCUUUCAACGCGACCCCAGGUCAGGCGGGGUUACCCGCUGAAUUUAAGCAUAUCAAUAAGCGGAGGA
RNAcentral lists this unclassified non-coding RNA (391 nucleotides) under soil metagenome. Its description in RNAcentral is "partial contains 5.8S ribosomal RNA, internal transcribed spacer 2, and large subunit ribosomal RNA". The stretch from base 1 to 122 matches the Rfam family "5.8S ribosomal RNA", at positions 35 to 154 of the family's 154-position model. The record is from RNAcentral.